GCAGUUCUGGGUGUAUGAAUAGUCUUCUUCUCCCUCUGUUUCUGUCAGUCUAUAAUGUUCUUCUACUUGUUCCAGCCUGACCUCUGCUAUGUGCUCCUUCGCUCAUCAGCUGUAUAUUUUUUGGGUCAUUUUAAGUUUCUCUGGAUCAGUUUGGAUUAUUCCCUGGACUUCGAGCCGUCUUUUGUUGGCUCUCCUGCCAUCCUGAGUUACAACUUCAACACCAAGGAUGCCUGAGGAUCGUCACAGCUCGGAGAGGUGCUGCUGCACACAUGAGGCAGAGGAAAGAGUCUCUGAUGGGCCGAUUUACUCAUCUCACAAGAACACAACUUGGAAGGAAUUCCUUCUCCUGUCUUUUAUCCCAGCUGUCCUGUCAUCAGAAUACUUCAUGGCACAUUGAUGACCGAUGUUCCUCAGGGAUUUGGAGUUAAG
Long non-coding RNA from Amphiprion ocellaris (clown anemonefish), 429 nucleotides. RefSeq lists it as uncharacterized. NCBI's taxonomy places the organism in Eukaryota, Metazoa, Chordata, Actinopteri, Pomacentridae. The record is from RefSeq and is a predicted model, not a curated record. The transcript is spliced from 3 exons.